Molecule: long non-coding RNA, 1275 nt
Organism: Musa acuminata AAA Group (dessert banana)
Lineage: Eukaryota; Viridiplantae; Streptophyta; Magnoliopsida; Zingiberales; Musaceae
Exons: 3
Source: RefSeq, a predicted model, not a curated record
CAUCCAAGAUAUCAGAGAACAGGGGAACGCAGUAUUCUGCAACCAUCUCAAUUAGAAUCCAGCGAACUGCUUGACCUCUGGAGGAGGAGAAAUAUAGUAUGCACUCGAUUUUAUCAUUAAAUCUUGUUAGAAUUGAGAUAGAGAUAAUUUCCAGUGAGAUUUCUCCCAAAUCAAAAUCUCAUUAGCAAUUGGGACCUAAACGUUCUUGAUUGGCAGACAUAUCAUUGAUGACAUGAUUGAACUCUUGCAGAUCAUUAAGUAAGGAGCAAUGUUUUGCAGAAUUAGGAGGCUGCGGAUGGCAUGGGGAGUGUCGGAGACAGGAUACCUGCACUCUCUUCGGACUACGGACUUCGAAUUUGGCAUUGGUGGUGACGGAGGUUGUCGCCAGAGGCCCCGAAAACUUCACCGAGUUCUGCACUGUAAAGCUCUCCGAAUCAAUAGUCUGCGAUAUCUCGUCCACCUUCACCAGCUCCGGCAGCCGCCCCGACGACAAAAGUGGGAACAAUCCCGAGAACGAAGUGUAACUGCGUCCGCGACCAAAUUGAUCGAUGAGAAUGAGCGAGAAGAAGGAUUUCAUCCAAGAUCUCGAAUCUUACGCGAGGAUCCAUUUGCCGUUGAGGAGGGCGAGGGCGUCGGUGGGAGCGGGCGUAGGGUUCUUGGCCUCGAGCUGGGUGAUGACCUCCAGGAUCUCUGCUCUCGUCUCGCUUGACGCCUUCAGCCCCCGGUCCGUCCCGUACAGCAGAUCAAUCAGCUUCUUCUUCAGCUCGCCAGCCUCGCUCACUGCCGGCGGCUGCGCCACCGCCACGCCGCCCUCCUCGCCCAGCUCGUCGUCGUCGACCAUCGCGCGGGUUCGGAACGGGGCUGGGGUUAGCAGCUGCAUCCCGAUGCCCCUCAAGGUGGGGGCUUUCAGGUGGAGGACACUGGGGGCGAGGUGUGGGCGGCCAUCAGCCACCACUGAGAAGGGAGCCUUAAUGGCCAAGAGAUUCCAAGACGCCACCGCAGACAUGGAGCAACUCUUGAAACUCCGACCGCCUUUGCGCUCUCGCCUUACCGUCUUCUUCGUUGGGCGAUUGAUACGGGGGGGUUGUUAUAUUAACUUUUUAACAUCCACUAGCUGCGCAACGCGUGGAAGGAGGACGCUACGCAAUCGGUCGGGGCGGAUAUUUUCUGAAGUCGAUCGUUCUAGAAACAUCUCGCGGCGCACGUGCUCACGUGAGGCAUCAACCCUGAAAACUGAGAAAUACAAUGAGGUAAGAUUUGUAUUUGUCAUAUCAU